This 520-nucleotide unclassified non-coding RNA is filed under the name Centaurea jacea subsp. angustifolia. RNAcentral describes it as "partial external transcribed spacer". The record is from RNAcentral. Lineage: Eukaryota; Viridiplantae; Streptophyta; Magnoliopsida; Asterales; Asteraceae.
AGAUCGGUUGCCUAUUGACCCUUGUUGGUACUAAUAUGGUUGCGCACGCUGAGGCCAGUAAACAUAUUGGGAUUGGCUUGGUGAUGUAGGCUACAUCCCGGUCAUGGUGGGUUCGAUGGUGGGUUUGUUACUUUCGCAUCGUUCGGUGCAUUUUGGGGGCUGUUUUGGCUUUUGGUUGCUUGCUUAGCCUUUUGGUUGGGUGGGUGGCUACUAGUUGGGCGGCUUUCGGGAAUGAUGACCGGGGAGGUGCAUGAGUGGUGAUUGGUUUGUUACGUGUGGAUGGCUGUUUGCUCGCGCACCAACGUUCACGCUGCAUACCUCUUCAGUUCUGCGUCAAGACUGGCUUUGUCUUGAGCAUGUUGUGGGUUUCCUGUGUUGCAUACCUAAUUGACGGUAACGUGUGGGUUUKAYGGUUUUCUUUUUCGUCAUGCGUCCAUCAUGUGGCGUGGGAUGAACAAUGAAACGGUCUUUGUAAUCCACAGUGUUGUGCUUGCAACAACGAUGUGGCCUAUGAAGCAUC